CCUUGAAAUACCACCCUUUAAUGUUUGAUGUUCUAACGUGGACCCGUGAUCCGGGUUGCGGACAGUGUCUGGUGGGUAGUUUGACUGGGGCGGUCUCCUCCUAAAGAGUAACGGAGGAGCACGAAGGUUGGCUAAUCCUGGUCGGACAUCAGGAGGUUAGUGCAAUGGCAUAAGCCAGCUUGACUGCGAGCGUGACGGCGCGAGCAGGUGCGAAAGCAGGUCAUAGUGAUCCGGUGGUUCUGAAUGGAAGGGCCAUCGCUCAACGGAUAAAAGGUACUCCGGGGAUAACAGGCUGAUACCGCCCAAGAGUUCAUAUCGACGGCGGUGUUUGGCACCUCGAUGUCGGCUCAUCACAUCCUGGGGCUGAAGUAGGUCCCAAGGGUAUGGCUGUUCGCCAUUUAAAGUGGUACGCGAGCUGGGUUUAGAACGUCGUGAGACAGUUCGGUCCCUAUCUGCCGUGGGCGCUGGAGAACUGAGGGGGGCUGCUCCUAGUACGAGAGGACCGGAGUGGACGCAUCACUGGUGUUCGGGUUGUCAUGCCAAUGGCACUGCCCGGUAGCUAAAUGCGGAAGAGAUAAGUGCUGAAAGCAUCUAAGCACGAAACUUGCCCCGAGAUGAGUUCUCCCUGAGACUUUAG
RNAcentral lists this ribosomal RNA (637 nucleotides) under Salmonella enterica subsp. enterica serovar Panama. Its description in RNAcentral is "partial 23S ribosomal RNA". It matches the Rfam family "Bacterial large subunit ribosomal RNA", at positions 2190 to 2824 of the family's 2925-position model. Lineage: Bacteria; Pseudomonadati; Pseudomonadota; Gammaproteobacteria; Enterobacterales; Enterobacteriaceae. The record is from RNAcentral.